This 253-nucleotide ribosomal RNA is filed under the name uncultured bacterium. Its description in RNAcentral is "partial 16S ribosomal RNA". It matches the Rfam family "Bacterial small subunit ribosomal RNA", at positions 524 to 776 of the family's 1533-position model. The record is from RNAcentral.
UACGGGGGGGGCAGGCGUUGUUCGGAAUUACUGGGCGUAAAGGGCUCGUAGGUGGCCAACUAAGUCAGACGUGAAAUCCCUCGGCUUAACCGGGGAACUGCGUCUGAUACUGGAUGGCUUGAGUUCGGGAGAGGGAUGCGGAAUUCCAGGUGUAGCGGUGAAAUGCGUAGAUAUCUGGAGGAACACCGGUGGCGAAGGCGGCACCCUGGACCGACACUGACGCUGAGGAGCGAAAGCCAGGGGAGCAAACGGG